Felis catus (domestic cat) is the source of this 705-nucleotide long non-coding RNA. RefSeq lists it as uncharacterized. The transcript is spliced from 2 exons. The record is from RefSeq and is a predicted model, not a curated record. Lineage: Eukaryota; Metazoa; Chordata; Mammalia; Carnivora; Felidae.
AUGCCACCUUCACCCUCAUGGGUGGUGUCACUUCCCCAAGGGCAUGCCACAUGUUCCCUCAAUUGUGUCUUGACUUGCUCAGAGAAGAACCUUUCGUUUUCAUGCCACGCUCAAGUCAGUGGGAACAAAUUCCUCUUUACUGUGGAAUCUGGAAAGGUUCCUCUUGACAGUAUACAGUAAGUUUUAUGCUUGCUGCUUCAGGAGAACCAUUUGUUUGACAAGACUUCAGCGCUGUCAUUUCUAAAAGCAAGAUCUACUGAAGAUACUAGAGUGUGGAGACAGAGGGAAGAAGUCCAUGGAGAGAAAUGUGGGCAAAUCAAGUGGUUGACUUGCCUGCAAUGGGAUUCUCCAAGUCAGGAGGCUGGGUUACAGUCAGGUCUGGGGCAGCUUCUGGUGGUGCCCAAAGGGGUGGAAGGAUCUUGGAGGGAUAGCCAAGGAUUGCACCUGGUGACAUGUUCUCAGCCUGACAUUUACAGCCUGUCCAGAAGUUCCUUCCAUGGCUCCAAGCACAGCAUGAAAGUAGCAAAGAGGAGGGCUGGAAGGGACCACAAGGACAUACCAGUGGACAUCUCUGCCAUGAGAGAGUGGACAUCCUGCUGAGGCCCAUGGGUGCCUCUUCAAGCUGUUGACCUUGUGUAAGUUUCUGAAAAGUCAGCCCUGCCCCUGAGUGGGGGUUGGGAGAGAAAAAUAAAACUGAAGUCCCAA